GCGGAAGUGGCGGAAUUGGUAGACGCACCAGAUGUAGGUUCUGGCGCCGCAAGGUGUGAGAGUUCAAGUCUCUCCUUCCGCACCA
This 85-nucleotide transfer RNA is filed under the name Vibrio parahaemolyticus. RNAcentral's name for it is "tRNA-Leu". It matches the Rfam family "tRNA". Rfam says of the family: Transfer RNA (tRNA) molecules are approximately 80 nucleotides in length. Their secondary structure includes four short double-helical elements and three loops (D, anti-codon, and T loops). The record is from RNAcentral. Lineage: Bacteria; Pseudomonadati; Pseudomonadota; Gammaproteobacteria; Vibrionales; Vibrionaceae.